AUGUGUACUUCGAACAUUGAAAAGGUGAUAUACCUGAUAGUGCUACAAGGUCCGUUUUAUCCAGUCCUUGCCUUCCGAAGAAUUUUACAAGACGAUGCAGUGUUGCAUUGGGUGGAGGCAGGUUCUUAUUUGCUAGCUUCAUAUAUGCUGUCUUUGAAUCCCUCCUUCCCAGCGGGAGUUCCCAGUAUGGCCCACCACUCUGUCAUAUCAAAUAUGUGUAACAACAUCACAACCACAUAUUUAAUCGAGGACAUCAGUAGUUUUCAGUCUUCUAUUCCUCUUAAAUACGAUAACCUAAAGUAG
This 303-nucleotide ribosomal RNA is filed under the name Triticum aestivum (bread wheat). RNAcentral describes it as "partial small subunit ribosomal RNA". Lineage: Eukaryota; Viridiplantae; Streptophyta; Magnoliopsida; Poales; Poaceae. The record is from RNAcentral.